This 253-nucleotide ribosomal RNA is filed under the name uncultured bacterium. RNAcentral describes it as "partial 16S ribosomal RNA". It matches the Rfam family "Bacterial small subunit ribosomal RNA", at positions 524 to 776 of the family's 1533-position model. The record is from RNAcentral.
UACGAAGGGGGCUAGCGUUAAUCGGAUUUACUGGGCGUAAAGGGCGCGUAGGUGGUUACGUAAGUGAGAUGUGAAAUCCCCGGGCUUAACCUGGGAACUGCAUCUUAAACUGCGUAGCUGGAGUGCAGUAGAGGGUAGUGGAAUUUCCGGUGUAGCGGUGAAAUGCGUAGAUAUCGGAAGGAACACCAGUGGCGAAGGCGGCUACCUGGACUGAGACUGACACUGAGGCGCGAGAGCGUGGGGAGCAAACAGG